RNAcentral lists this unclassified non-coding RNA (385 nucleotides) under uncultured bacterium. RNAcentral describes it as "contains 16S-23S intergenic spacer region". The record is from RNAcentral.
UCCUGGUUUCCCAGGCAGUCCCACUAGAGUGCCUUGCUUGCGCAAGUAGCAACUAGUAGUAAGGGUUGCGCUCGUUAAAGGACUUAACCCAACAUCUCACGACACGAGCUGACGACAGCCAUGCAGCACCUGUUAUUGUGUCUAGGCCGAAACCUAAAAAACUGUAUUUCUACAGCUGUCACAACAAUGUCAAACCCAGGUAAGGUUCCUCGCGUACUGUCGAAUUAAACCACAUGUUCCACCGCUUGUGCGGACCCCCGUCAAUUCCUUUAAGUUUUAGUCUUGCGACCGUACUUCCCAGGCGAAUCACUUAACGCGUUAGCUACGACACUGAUCCGGCAAGCCGAACCAACAUCUAGUGAUCAUCGUUUACAGCGUGGACUAC